AGAGGGUGCAAACGUUGUUCGGAAUUACUGGGCGUAAAGCGCGUGUAGGUGGCAAGGUAAGUCGGGUGUGAAAGCCCUGGGCUCAACCCAGGAAGUGCAUUCGAUACUACCUCGCUAGAGUCCCGGAGAGGUUGGUGGAACUCUCGGUGUAGAGGUGAAAUUCGUAGAUAUCGAGAAGAACACCGGUGGCGAAGGCGGCCAACUGGACGGUGACUGACACUGAGACGCGAAAGCGUGGGGAGCAAACAGGAUUAGAUACCCUGGUAGUCCACGCCGUAAACGAUGGGUGCUAGGUGUCACGGGUAUUGACCCCUGUGGCGCCGUAGCUAACGCAUUAAGCACCCCGCCUGGGAAGUACGGCCGCAAGGCUA
RNAcentral lists this ribosomal RNA (371 nucleotides) under uncultured bacterium. RNAcentral's name for it is "bacterial SSU rRNA". It matches the Rfam family "Bacterial small subunit ribosomal RNA", at positions 527 to 896 of the family's 1533-position model. The record is from RNAcentral.